CCUGGGGAGUGCGGUCGCAAGAUUAAAACUCAAAGGAAUAGACGGGGACCCGCACAAGUGGUGGAGCAUGUGGUUUAAUUCGAAGAUACGCGAAGAACCUUACCUAGCCUUGACAUAUUUUAGAACACUUUAGAGAUAGAGUGGUGCCUUCGGGAGCUAAUAUACAGGUGCUGCACGGCUGUCGUCAGCUCGUGUCGUGAGAUGUUGGGUUAAGUCCCGCAACGAGCGCAACCCUCGUCACUAGUUACUAACGGUUCGGCCGAGGACUCUAGUGAGACUGCCUUCGUAAGGAGGAGGAAGGUGAGGACGACGUCAAGUCAUCAUGGCCCUUACGGCUAGGGCAACACACGUGCUACAAUGGCCAGGACAAUGAGAAGCGAUACCGCGAGGUGGAGCAAAUCUAUAAACCUGGUCUCAGUUCGGAUUGUAGUCUGCAACUCGACUACAUGAAGCUGGAAUCACUAGUAAUCGUAGAUCAGCUAUGCUACGGUGAAUACGUUCCCGGGUCUUGCACACACCGCCCGU
This 525-nucleotide ribosomal RNA is filed under the name uncultured Campylobacterales bacterium. Its description in RNAcentral is "bacterial SSU rRNA". It matches the Rfam family "Bacterial small subunit ribosomal RNA", at positions 872 to 1397 of the family's 1533-position model. Lineage: Bacteria; Pseudomonadati; Campylobacterota; Epsilonproteobacteria; Campylobacterales. The record is from RNAcentral.